AGCUCAGCCUAAGGUGACUGACGGGCAGCAUUUGGUGAGUCAACCAUCCCAACUCAGCUCCCGAUCGCUUGAUUACAGACAGGCAAACCACCAAGCGACAGGCCUCAGUCCAAUCCAGAUGCAUGUUUUUAACCUCAGCCUAAGGUGACUUCUGGUGUAUCCAUUUGAGUGGUAGGCACGAUUUGCUGACCCCUAUCACACCAUUAGUUCAUUAGGUUACGAAUGCGAAUGUGUAUAUUAAUUUAGGCAGCUCUUAGCUUAUAGGAAUUCUUCCUUCAAUAGAUUGGUUUUCAUUGUGUGAGGGUGGGUAUAUACCAGUAUUGAUAUCGGCCUUGAUUGCUAUGCUGUGCUGAUUGUCUUGAUUGUCCGAUUGUGAGCUAAUAUACGAGUGCUUCAUUUGCUAUAAAUAAAUCUCUUUAUCUGUGAACCAUGUAAUUUCAAAAAUCAUCAUCUUUUCUCUACAAUUUAAAUAUCCAAGUUACACUAUCCCCAUCAAUGGAAAUAUCCUAAUUAUCAGAUUGAUCGGAUGGCCGAAAACCGACGUAAGCAUAAAUGAAGUAUGAAGAGUUAUAACAACAUGGCUAGAGGAUCAAAGGGAGCUUACAGGUGAGCUACCACAUCCAGAGGCAGAGAACCAAAUAAUAAAUUCAAAACAGAGACAAUGUUUUCAAUCUUCAGGAAUAACAAAUUUGAAAAAAAAUAAAAUUGAAUAAAUUGAAUAAAGUGAAACAUAUAACUCUCACCUGGCCACUCCACAGAGAGGCCUGCUUCAGAAGCUUCCACAGUCCAAACGCUUGAUCAUGAGUCAGGACUAGGGGUCUGGUCCUCUUCAUGCAAAUACAAUGCAAACAGACGAGUAUCCGCUGGUUUCGCCGGCAUUAAUGAUUAAUAGCGUCGCAGUCGCUGCGCAACCGAGGAUUUUUAAUUUUAAUUAGUCUUUUACACGAUAAUACUGGUAAUGCGCAAAUGUUAUUGAUGGGCCUAGGCGAAAUCUCAAUGAAUCUAACUGAGAGUAAUUUAAUUUCGAAAAAAUAAAAUAAAAUAGGCACGUAAUUUGGUUGUCUCCUAAUAUGACCAUAAAGUCAAUAAUUUAUAAAAACUUCACAAAAUUAUUAUCUUCGAAAAUAAAUUAUAAGUAAGUGAAUAAAAUUUAUUUUUAAUCAAAUUCUUUACUCUUUUAAUUGAUUUCUUUUUUUAUUUGUAAAUUUUUUUAUAUUUAAAAAAAUGUGAUGGAAAAAAAAAAGAGAGAGCAAAACAAUAGAUAGGCUUAAUUAGAUAAAUUUAAAAUUUUAAUACAAUUUAAAAUAUAGAGAAUAAAAUUACAUAUACAGACGAAUAGAGAUUUUAUAAGAGAGAUAGAGGGGUACCAAUAGCGUAACUCAAUCCCAUUAUACUGUGUUUACUUUCUAAAGUGGGAGGAAUCCUUUCUGAAGUGAGAGCGAGGAGUGUGGAUUUCUCCCACUUCAGUGUUUACUUCAAUAAUUUAAGAAGGGAUUGUGAAUCUUACUCUGUGGGUCCCAUUCAUUUUUGGAGUGGAGAGUGGGAGUAGGACUCCCAUGGAGAGAGAUGGGAGUGGGAAUCCAUUCCCACCACUCUCUUUUAUACCAUUUUUAAUUAAUUUUAAAAUUUAAUAUUUAAUAAAAUAAAAUAAAUAAUAUUUAUUUAAAUAAUAUUAUUAUAUUUAACUAAAUAAUAAUUUACAUUAAUUAUAAGUUUAUAUUACUUAAAAAUAAUAUUAUUAUAUUAAUAGAGAAUUAAUAAUAUUAUCUUAUACUAUCUUUAUUUAAAAAUAUAAUAUUAUUAUAUUUAUUUUAAAAUAAUAGUAUUAUAUUUAUUUAAUAUUAAUAAUAAAUAAUUUAUUCUAAGAAAAUAUUAAUUUCGUACUAUGUUAAUAGUAAAAAUGUUUCAUUUAUAUUGCUCUUAUCAAUAAUUUUUAAUUUUUAUAAUUAAAAUUAAUAAAAAAUUGUGAUGUACAUAAUUAAGAAUAUUAAUAUUAUUAUAAAUUUAUAAAUAUAAUAAAAUAAAUGUUUAUUCAUUAAAUAUAUUUUUUAUUAACUUUGUAAUUAAAAACUAUAAUUCUUUAAAUAAGGGUAAAAUGAUAAUUUAAAACUAUUUACUUCCAAUUUAAGACAAAGUAAACAUAUAAAUUGAAUUCUAAUCUUCAUUCCAUACUUCCAUUUCAGUGUAAGUAAACAACCUACUCAGACUCUCACUCCACACUCCCAAUCUUAGAAUUCACACUCUUCAGGAUUCCCACUUCAAUGCAAAAAGUAAACGCUACCUUGCAGUGUAAUAUUUCAUGUUCAAUAGAGAGGGGCAUGGAAGCUCACUUCAAGAAGUCCAUAAUAAACUCACCUCAUUUUUUUCAUAUAUUGAAUAAAAUUCAAAUUAUACGUCUAACUAAUUAAUUUUACUAUAGAUUUUUUUUUUUUUUGGAAAAGAAAAAUUACUGAGGAUCUUAAUAGAGUUCCAUGUCUAUAAAAAUUUAAUUAAAAACUUAAUAAAAAAAUUUUUCCGCCUGUUUUUUUUUUUGUUGAUUUCGAAAUAACAAAGAAUCACUUGUAAUAAAUUUUAAGCAUAAUGGACAAUGGCAAACAUAAUAAUACAGUAGUUUCGCUUCACACUUCCACCAAACGCACCGUUUCAGUCAUCACUCAAAGUUAACGGUUCAUGUACGUGCGCGAACACAACCGUUAGGUCCGCCUUAUCUUAUCUAAAGGCUGCACUCUUAAGUCAAAAUAACGAUAUUCGUCUCUUACAUGUUCAAAAGGAUCCCUCUGUACCAUUUGAAAGCUUAAAUAUUCAAAUUAAAUUUUGCAUGCAAAUCUAUUAAAGCAUUAGUCAGAGUGAAGAGCUUCUCACUGACCUUCCAAACUCCAAUGGCGCCGCAAAUUGAUUCCGCGAGGAGAAGAAUGACCGCUGUUGCCAACCAUCUUGUUCCGGUCAUCAGUUCGGAUUCGAAUAGCGGUUUCAUCGGG
RNAcentral lists this long non-coding RNA (2978 nucleotides) under Citrus maxima (pomelo). RNAcentral's name for it is "long non-coding RNA (CMAX_LNC003215)". Lineage: Eukaryota; Viridiplantae; Streptophyta; Magnoliopsida; Sapindales; Rutaceae. The record is from RNAcentral.